UGGCAUCUUCUACUAAUAGAAGGCAGUUUUAUCUACUCUGAAAAUCUGCUGUUGAGUGUUGCCACCUUUAUCAAUGAUCUUAGUUAGAUCUCCUGGAUAAUGUACUGCAGCUUCUCAAUCAGCACUUACUGCUUUACCUUGCACUUUUAUGUUAUGGAGAGACAGGUUCCUCCCUUAAA
This is a long non-coding RNA of Sapajus apella (tufted capuchin), 179 nucleotides long. RefSeq lists it as uncharacterized. The record is from RefSeq and is a predicted model, not a curated record. NCBI's taxonomy places the organism in Eukaryota, Metazoa, Chordata, Mammalia, Primates, Cebidae. The transcript is spliced from 3 exons.